GACGAACCGUGCGAACGUUAUUCGGAAUCACUGGGCUUAAAGGGUGCGUAGGCGGGCUCGCCAGUCAGGGGUGAAAUCCCACGGCCCAACCGUGGAAGUGCCUCUGAUACUGCGGGCCUCGAGGGGGAUAGGGGCGUGCGGAACUUCCGGUGGAGCGGUGAAAUGCGUAGAUAUCGGAAGGAACACCGGUGGCGAAAGCGGCGCGCUGGAUCCCUACUGACGCUGAGGCACGAAAGCCAGGGGAGCAAACGGG
RNAcentral lists this ribosomal RNA (253 nucleotides) under uncultured bacterium. RNAcentral's name for it is "partial 16S ribosomal RNA". It matches the Rfam family "Bacterial small subunit ribosomal RNA", at positions 524 to 776 of the family's 1533-position model. The record is from RNAcentral.